Molecule: ribosomal RNA, 110 nt
Filed under: Salmonella enterica subsp. enterica serovar Infantis
Lineage: Bacteria; Pseudomonadati; Pseudomonadota; Gammaproteobacteria; Enterobacterales; Enterobacteriaceae
Also listed under: 51 other names
Source: RNAcentral
GGCACUAGCGCGGUGGUCCCACCUGACCCCAUGCCGAACUCAGAAGUGAAACGCCGUAGCGCCGAUGGUAGUGUGGGGUCUCCCCAUGCGAGAGUAGGGAACUGCCAGGC